Molecule: long non-coding RNA, 1195 nt
Organism: Gorilla gorilla gorilla (western lowland gorilla)
Lineage: Eukaryota; Metazoa; Chordata; Mammalia; Primates; Hominidae
Exons: 2
Source: RefSeq, a predicted model, not a curated record
GCAGUGGCUCCAACCGGAAGGGCGGUGCUCGAGCUGUGGUGCGUGCCGCUAAGUUGUGCGUUCCCGGGUGCACUCGCCGGCGAGGCUGCAUGGCGGCGGUUUCAUUGCUAAAAUCCGACGGACUUGUUGCAGAACUCGUUUUUUUGUCGGGAAAGGGCUUCCCCGUGUAACUUUACACCAGUUAUCGUAGAUAAGACUUGAAAAUUACAGAGGUGGACGGUGAGGGAACGGGAAUUUCACUGAAAGCGCCUGAGAACCAGUAAGAGACCUGCAACAGCUUUGUGCUCCACUGGCGAAUGCUUCCUCCCCUAAUACACAUUAUGUGUGUUUGGAGACACAAGGAGUAAGAUACAGCCCCUCAAGGGACUCGUCAUAGGGAGAGGACACAGCUUUGGGAAUAAAGGGGCCACAAAGGAGGAGAGAGGAGUUUGCUGAAACUUCCCAAGCUCCCAUUCCAGCAGUUCCUGAAGGGCUGGACAAUGGAGGAGGCUUGAAACAGUAGCUGGCAAGUGGUAGAAGAGAUGGAGCAGAGAAGCAAGAAGAAGCAGACUCCUCACUCCUUCACCAGGGUGGAUUUGCUGGUUUCAAGCAGACCUGAGUUGGGAGAGGGGAGAGGCGAGAAGUUUUAAUUGGAUGAAAUAUUUCUUUAGACUGGUCUAUACUUUUUUCUUUAUAUCUAAAAUUCACUGGAAGAGCUAUGAAAUCUGUCCAAGAUUUCGUUCAGUUCAGGAAAAACCAAAACCAAAACCAAAACCAGUGAGUUUAUAAAGGAAGUUUAUGGUGGAUUUUUAAAAAUUAUUUUGAUAACUGACAUUGGGGUAUUCUCCAUCUUAUGAGUCUGAAAAUAUUUCUUCGCAGCCAGGUAAUACACAUGUGACUCAGACCAAAGAAGUAUGUGUCCAAGACCUCAAGUUGAAAGCUGUGGACUGCGGAGGGACUCUCUGGUGAAGUUGUUGCAAGCAUGAUUAAUUUAUUGGGGCAGCAAUGGCAGCCAAGCCAGUGGUGGUAUCCUGUGUCCAGGAGUGGUAUUGGUGAUUCAGUUUGCAGCCUCUGAGGUACAAGGAUAAGGAAAAUGGUGACCAGAUCAGUUUUGCUGCCUCAGAUUAGACAUAAUUUCAAGCUGUAUAUCUCUAAUCCUCCUAAUAAUUCUAUGACCUACAUGAUAUCCUUUAAAUAAAUGACUUAUCAUUUAAAA